Molecule: long non-coding RNA, 851 nt
Filed under: Malus domestica (apple)
Lineage: Eukaryota; Viridiplantae; Streptophyta; Magnoliopsida; Rosales; Rosaceae
Description: long non-coding RNA (MDOM_LNC017841)
Source: RNAcentral
UGGGAAUCAAGAGCCAAAAUAGGCUACAUGAAACAAAGUUUCUCUCUGCAAAAUGAUUAAGUUUCAUGUAAUUUAGAACCCAUACUCGUCCAAUCAAAUUUACAAUUUCAGGCACUUCCAAACUAUCAAGGAAUCAUAUUUAACUUCUAUUUCAAUGUGUUAGCGUGCCUAUAUCAUGCCUAAUUCUUCCCUUUUAGCCAAAGACUACAAACAAUUCAAUAAAAUAAAAGUAUGUACCUUUUCUUGUUUCUAUACAUUAAUAAAGAAAGAAUAAGACAUAUUACAAAGAUGAGGAGAUGAAAGGAGAAUGAGGCUCACCAUCUUGCAAGUUAACUCGUUGUUCCAUUGUUUGCAAGCACAACCUCAAUCAUUGUUCCAGUUCACCCAUUUUGUAUCUCGUUGCACAAGAGUCAAUUGACCAGACAAAGAUGUUGCUCCUAUUUGCAACGUCUGGCCAUCAUGUUCUCCAUUCCUCAACCAAAACACACGCUUUGCCGGAAAAUGGUAGACACUCGUUGGAAAAGUCGGGCCUCGUUGGAGCUUCUCGAUUCGUUAUCUCAAUUUCAUUUUUCAAAAACAGGGACUCGUUAUCUCAAUUUCAUUUUUCAAAAAACAGGGACAAGGGAGGAGUUCAUGACGAGAUGGGAAUUAUGGUGAUGAUAGUUUGGUGAUUUGGGUUUGCCGGCCAACGCGGCUUCGACUCCUUGUCGGCCUUCUCUGUGUUGUAUGAGGAAGGGAAGUGAAGGAUCAAUUGAGAGAGUUCUGGAGAGUUCCCCAAAUGAGUGGGAGAGUCGGGAAGAGGUGAGAGAGUGCGUCCCCAGAACCCCACCACAAGAAAAUUUAAAAUCCUC